AACUAACGCUGGCGGCGUGCCUAACACAUGCAAGUCGAACGAGAAAGUUGGCUUCGGCCGAUGAGUAAAGUGGCGCACGGGUGAGUAACGCGUGGAUAAUCUGCCCUUUAGUUUGGAAUAACGUACCGAAAGGUGCGCUAAUACCGGAUAAUACUGAAUGACUACUGUCGUUUAGUCAAAGAAGGCUUCUGUUUACAUGCUUUUGCUGAAGGAUGAGUCCGCGUACCAUUAGCUAGUUGGUAGGGUAAUGGCCUACCAAGGCGACGAUGGUUAGCUGGUCUGAGAGGAUGAUCAGCCACACUGGAACUGAGACACGGUCCAGACUCCUACGGGAGGCAGCAGUGAGGAAUAUUGCGCAAUGGGGGCAACCCUGACGCAGCAACGCCGCGUGAGUGAGGAAGGUUUUCGGACCGUAAAGCUCUGUCGAGCGGGAAGAAAUGCAUGGUGGCUAAUAUCCAUCAUGCUUGACGGUACCGCUAAAGGAAGCACCGG
RNAcentral lists this ribosomal RNA (492 nucleotides) under uncultured bacterium. Its description in RNAcentral is "bacterial SSU rRNA". It matches the Rfam family "Bacterial small subunit ribosomal RNA", at positions 29 to 496 of the family's 1533-position model. The record is from RNAcentral.